UACGUAGGGGGCUAGCGUUGUCCGGAAUUAUUGGGCGUAAAGAGCUCGUAGGCGGUUUUUCGCGUCGAAUGUGAAAACCCGGGGCUCAACCCCGGGCCUGCAUUCGAUACGGGCAGACUAGAGUGCGGUAGGGGAGACUGGAAUUCCUGGUGUAGCGGUGAAAUGCGCAGAUAUCAGGAGGAACACCGGUGGCGAAGGCGGGUCUCUGGGCCGUAACUGACGCUGAGGAGCGAAAGCGUGGGGAGCGAACAGG
Molecule: ribosomal RNA, 253 nt
Filed under: uncultured bacterium
Lineage: Bacteria
Description: partial 16S ribosomal RNA
Rfam family: Bacterial small subunit ribosomal RNA
Source: RNAcentral